ACUCAACAUUAAUUCUUUAAAAAGGGUGAGUUUAAGCUGUAAAAGCAUGCUGCAUAAACUGAAUUAGUUUCAGUGCUUAUUAGCAGAUCCUUGAUCAGUUUGUUAGCCCUAAACUUAUUUUUAAGGAGUUU
RNAcentral lists this small RNA (131 nucleotides) under Snuella sedimenti. RNAcentral's name for it is "6S-Flavo RNA". It matches the Rfam family "6S-Flavo RNA". The record is from Rfam by way of RNAcentral. Lineage: Bacteria; Pseudomonadati; Bacteroidota; Flavobacteriia; Flavobacteriales; Flavobacteriaceae.